GGAGCGAAAUAGAGUAGCGAAGCGUGUGAGCCGGCUGCCGAGAAAAGCCGCUAUUGUUUUAUAUCAGCCCGUACCGUAAACCGACACAGGUGGAUGAGGAGAGAAUCCUAAGGCCGACGGAAGAAGCAUUGUUAAGGAAUUCGGCAAAAUGACCCCGUAACUUCGGGAGAAGGGGUGCCACAGAGAUGUGGCCGCAGAGAAUAGGCUCAAGCAACUGUUUAGCAAAAACACAGGUCUAUGCGAAACCGUAAGGUGAAGUAUAUGGGCUGACGCCUGCCCGGUGCUGGAAGGUUAAGAGGAGAGGUUAGCUUCGGCGAAGCUUUGAAUUCAAGCCCCAGUAAACGGCGGCCGUAACUAUAACGGUCCUAAGGUAGCGAAAUUCCUUGUCGGGUAAGUUCCGACCCGCACGAAAGGCGUAAUGAUUUGAGCACUGUCUCAACAAUGCAUCCGGUGAAAUUGAAGUACCAGUGAAGAUGCUGGUUACCCGCGCCAGGACGGAAAGACCCCAUGGAGCUUUACUCCAGUUUGGUACUGGGAUUCGGUA
Molecule: ribosomal RNA, 544 nt
Filed under: Lachnospiraceae bacterium C10
Lineage: Bacteria; Bacillati; Bacillota; Clostridia; Lachnospirales; Lachnospiraceae
Description: bacterial LSU rRNA
Rfam family: Bacterial large subunit ribosomal RNA
Source: RNAcentral